Molecule: non-coding RNA, 2418 nt
Organism: Odocoileus virginianus texanus
Lineage: Eukaryota; Metazoa; Chordata; Mammalia; Artiodactyla; Cervidae
Source: RefSeq, a predicted model, not a curated record
CGGGCCAGCCCUGCCCCUCUGCCAGCCCUGGGUUCCCAGCCUCCCCCGCAGCUGGAGUCCUCCCAGCUUCUCUGCAUUUAUCCCAGCCCCAGGGCCCUCCCUGCAGGAAUCAGUAGACUGGUAACCUCAGUUACUGACUUGCAUUGUAUGUAUCAGCGUGUCUCAUUCUCCCAGCAGCCCAGUUUUUCAGAUGAGGAAACUGAGGCUUAGAGAAGAUAAGAAAUUGUCCAAAGUCAGUGUGAACAAGUGGUGAGGGGGGACCUCAGCCUCGGGUCUGUCUCGGGGCUUCUAUGCCAGGUUCCUUGAGCGUUUACCCUCCACCUUCAGGAAUUCUGCCACAUCUAUACCCUACCCAGACUGUUAUCUACAGCAGUGCAUGCUAUAUCCCAAUACAGAAUAAAAAGUUGCAAAAGAAAAAAAAGGUAUCACAAAACUGAAAGCUUAAGCAACACAGAUUUAUUCUCUCACUGUCCUGGAGGCUGGAAGUUCAAGACGCUGGCCAGUUUGGUCUCCCCCAAGGCCGUCUCUCCCUAGGUCAUCACACAGCCUUUGGUCUGUGAGUAUGUGAGUCCCUGGGGUCUCUUUCUCAGUCCAAAUUUCCUCUUCUCAUAAGGAAACCAAUCAGAUGGGACUAGAGCCAACCUGAAAGGCCUCGUUUAAAUUAACCAUCUCUUACACGGCCCUAUCUCAAAAUACAGUCACAUUCUGAGGUGCUGGGGGUUAGGACUUGAGCAUACAUAUAAAUCUGGGAACACGCAAUUUGGCAGUGUCCCAGUAUUUAUGGGACGAAGCAGGCGGGGAGAAACUAGUGCAAGUCACAGAGGGGAAGGGAGCAGGGCAGCCCAAGAACCUACGUAGUCUGAUCCUCCAUUGAAAUAUUUUCCUCUAUGUCGACUGCAUCUAGCAGUGUGGACGGCUGCAGACAUGGCUGGGGUCCCAGGAACCGUCAAAGUCAUCCAUUCACACAGCAUCUUGUUUCCGCAAUCAGGUCCCUCUCCGUUAUAAAUUCUUCUCCGUCCAACAACCAGGCAGAACUUCAUGGCGGACCUGAUCUACCGUCUGGGUGCACGGGCGCUAAGACCUAAAAGGCAGGUGGAGCUUUCCUUUGGAAAGUGGUGAUGGAUACUCAGCUGAAGAAAGACUGUGGGCCUCAUUUAUGAUCAUCAGGAAUUAAAGGACCACCACUUCUGUAUCCAGCUGUUCCACCCCUAGUCUACACAUCCAAGAUGGACAGAACAGGCCGGCAACACCCCAAAGCGUGGGGAGCCAUUGUCCAGGCUCACCACGCCCCCAGGUGUGUUUGAAGCCCCACCACGCACAGGAUCCUGUACCUCCAUCUUCUUCGAGAACUUUCCGUGUCGCUCAAUUUCCGUCCCCCCACUCCCCAGUAGAGUGUGAGCUCCUGGAGGUGGGGGUGCCUGUCCCUUGCUCACCACCCCAUCCUUCUUGCUCAGCUGUGUGUCAGGUGGGCACCGACACAGCUUUGUUGAAUAAACGAGUGAAUGGUUUUUCCACAUCUAAGAGAAGCACUGGGGAAAUAGCAGCGGUGAUAUCUCAAGGGACUGGAGCCACCAUGAGGUAUAAAAUAAGGAGCAGUGACAACAAGAUCCCAUCCUCUGUCUGCUAUGGGGGUCCUCGGCACCUCCUCUUGCGAGCUCGAAAGCCAGGACGACACGCAGAGAGCUCUGGAACCCCGUGGAUGACCGGGAAAUGAAGACACCUCCCCUCUCCCCCUGGCUUGCUUAUCAGACUCCUGCCCAAGGGAUGGGGGCGGUAGUGGGGUGGGGGGGUUACAGGCUGCUUAUUCCAAAACAGCUGAGUUUGCAAAGGGAAGAUUCAGGAUUUGGGGAGAUUUGUGCUAAUCCGUAUGCAGGGACUCUUUAAGAAAAGAGCAUAAGAAUAUCAUCCUUGCACAGGGUUUUUAUUAAACCCUAUGACAGGCGAACUGUUUGCUGGAUUCCUCCCAGGGCUUCAUGAUGGUCCCAGAAAAAUUCCACCCACACCUGCAAGAUAGAGGCCAACCUGGACCCAUUUUUCUCCUGCUGCCCCACCCUCAUGUUCUCUGAGCCAGCCAAGGAACCACACUGUGCUGCUCUGGAGAAGUAACUUAACGUCUCUGUGCCUCUCCUUCCCCAAGCUUAAAACAGAUACAAUGUCAGUGCCUACUUAGCAGUCCUUUUUGAAGCUUCAGGAGAGUUAACCCAAGGAAAGAAUUUCAUCCAGGUCCUGGCACAUGGUGAGGACACGAGGAGGUGUUCAUCUAAAUUGCUGUUUCUUCAGCCCUCCACCCCUCCGGGGUCAAACCCAAAGUCACACCAUCUGUAGCUUAACAUUGGAACUGCAGCAUUAAAGGCCUACCUGGUGAUGGGGAAGGAUUGUGACUAUGGUUUUUUUAAAGGGAUUUUAUCUUUUGGAAGG